RNAcentral lists this long non-coding RNA (257 nucleotides) under Rattus norvegicus (Norway rat). RNAcentral describes it as "long non-coding RNA NONRATT027514". The record is from RNAcentral. Lineage: Eukaryota; Metazoa; Chordata; Mammalia; Rodentia; Muridae.
GGUACAGAUCAACCCCUGGAUCAGGCAACUAUCAGUCUACAGAUGGGUACCAACAAGGGCGCCAGCCAGGGUGGCUGCCAGCACGCAGCCGGAUAUCCAGUGUGGGUGUCAACUUUUGAGUGUCACCUCCUUUGGGUCACCUGUCUAGAAGUCUUGUGUUUAUGUGGAUGUACAAGUGUGUCGGAGGGUCAGCCUCAGCUGGUGGUCCCCACUUGCUAUCCAUGUUUUCUAUUAAAAUGUUCUAUUUGGGCUGGAAA